AAUGGAGACAUCACCAAUUCUUGUUGUAUUAUAAUUGGCUUUAGGCUGUGAUGUGUAAAGAAGGCAUACAAGUGACAGCCACUGAUUUCUGCUAAGAGAAUCUCCCACAAACAUUAUGCUUUUUCCUUUGAAUUUCUUUAAAAAUGCUCCUCCAUCAAAUCUUGUUAAGGAACAACCAUGAGGCUUCCAUCUAUAUUUAAG
RNAcentral lists this unclassified non-coding RNA (201 nucleotides) under Hevea brasiliensis (rubber tree). Lineage: Eukaryota; Viridiplantae; Streptophyta; Magnoliopsida; Malpighiales; Euphorbiaceae. The record is from RNAcentral.